CUUUUUUAUAGGGAAAAGACAAGCCUAGCAAGGCAAAAAACAGAAAGUCAAAUGAAAACAAGGAAAAGGAGAACAUUGAAAAUCAAGCUACAAAUAAGGAGUUAGUACCAACGAACGAAACAGAGAUGACAAGGAAGAUCGAGUCAAGAACUUUACAUGCAAACGAGGAAAUGAAGAGACCUGAGAAUCAGAUAAACAUCAGAUCAUUGGAAGUUACAAAUG
Mytilus trossulus (common blue mussel) is the source of this 222-nucleotide long non-coding RNA. RefSeq lists it as uncharacterized. The record is from RefSeq and is a predicted model, not a curated record. Lineage: Eukaryota; Metazoa; Mollusca; Bivalvia; Mytilida; Mytilidae. The transcript is spliced from 4 exons.